CAAUCAGGCACUCAGCUGGAGCAGACAGGACGGCUUCCGGGUUUGGUGGGGCCUUUGUCUCUGGCGGCAGCCGGAGCUUCUGGUGUAGUCUUCACUGCUCUGUGUCUUCUGCUCCUAGAGGCCCAGCUUCUGUGGCCUCGUUACCUGCAGGUAUUGGGAGAUCCACAGCUAAGACGCCAGGACCCACUGGAAGCCUAGAAAUGCUCCUGGCCUGGAAUGAAACUUCGCAUAUCUGGGAAUGGGAGACAGGACAGCCUGAAGUUGGAGUGUAGCCUCUCAAGGGAGCAGGUGGAUGCCCUGAGGCUGAGAGGAGUCUCCUGGGGUACUCUUCCUUUGAAAAGCAAACCCUUAGAGAAGUUAAGAUUGUCUUCAAGCAACCCGGGUUCCAUUUCUCGAAGACACAUUGCUGGUCAGCCAAUCAGAUGGUGGUAAUGAGGGAAAAACAAAUAAUUACUGCCACCUGGAUUCUCCAAGAAUUAUGAAAGAGAAAAUAGUAUCCCAAAAGACAAAAAAAAAAAAAAAAAAAAAAUCAAACCUGGCCCCAGUGAGAUGGUGCAGCAACUUGCAAAGUGAAAUGCACCUUGGGGCACUCAAUGGGGCCUAGUACAGUGUCUCUGGAGAGGGUGGUCACUGAGCACUUAAGUGAGCAGGAUGGGGGUGGGAGAAUCUCUCAAGGGAUUGGGUGGCCUGACUUGACAUAUGAGUCAAACACAUCUGUUUUUUAAUGAGCACCGUAGCUCCCUGGGUUUGUCACCUUGAAAAGGUUUGUUCACUUAUUUUGACUACAGUUUUUUAACUGUAACUUGCAUUUUAUUAGUAGGGCUUAAAAGGUAAGAAAAUAUUUACAAAGGGCAUAAAAGAGGUGGGGCUCAGAAGAAAAUAAAUAUCUAAUCCUAUAUUCCAUUCUUAAGAAUACUCAUUUAAGGAAGACUCUGUCUCAAAAACAAAAACAAAACUCAUUUACCUUUUUCUUUCCCAGACCGAGUUUAGAAAUUUUCUCAGGUGUGUGUUUUUGUUUUUGUUUUGUUUUGUUUUGAGACGGAGUUUUGCUCUUGUUGCCCAGGCUGGAGUGCAAUGGCUCAGUAUCAGCUCACUGAAACCUCUGCCUCUGGGUUCAAGUGAUUCUCCUACCUCAGCCUCCCAAGUAGCUGGGAUUACUGGCAUGUGCCACCAUGCACCAGCUAAUUUUUUGUAUUUUUAGUGGAGAUAGCGUUUUUCCAUGUUGGUCAGGCUGGUCUUGAACUCCCUGCCUCAGGUGACCUGCCCGAUCUGCCCGCCUUUGCCUCCCAAAGUGCUGGGAUUACAGGCGUGAGCCACCGCGCCCAGCCAGGUGUGUUUUUUUAAUGACUUGGUGACAUCCAACAGAAUUCCAAGGCUUAGUUUUUAGAGUGCUACAAAGGAAAAAAAUAGGGAAAAUCUCUCUUCCAUUUUGGCUGUAGAAAAUGAAUACAUUUCCAUAAGAAAAUGUGGUAGAUAAUUGGUGAGUUACAUUCAUGAAAACAUCAGUUCCUCUUUUUGCAGGGUACAUUUGUUACAGGGAAUACCUCUGUUCUGUACUCUAUCAUCUUGAUAUGUGAUGUUAAUGCUAAAUUUUAUGAGAGGAAACUUGGUAUCUCCUAGAAGUGCUCCCAUAUGACUAAUUGUUUACUACAUGAUUUUUAAUGGAAAUAAUAACAUAUUGUCUUAAAGGAAUAAAUGCUUUUGUAUUUCUUAUUGAGGUAUGAAAUGU
Molecule: long non-coding RNA, 1729 nt
Filed under: Homo sapiens (human)
Lineage: Eukaryota; Metazoa; Chordata; Mammalia; Primates; Hominidae
Description: non-protein coding lnc-ERV3-1-2:1
Source: RNAcentral